UGAGUAACCUGCCCUUAACUUCGGGAUAAGCCUGGGAAACCGGGUCUAAUACCGGAUACAACGGACCACCGCAUGGCGGUCCGUGGAAAGCUUUAUGCGGUUUUGGAUGGACUCGCGGCCUAUCAGCUUGUUGGUGAGGUAAUGGCUCACCAAGGCGACGACGGGUAGCCGGCCUGAGAGGGCGAUCGGCCACACUGGGACUGAGACACGGCCCAGACUCCUACGGGAGGCAG
RNAcentral lists this ribosomal RNA (233 nucleotides) under uncultured bacterium. RNAcentral describes it as "partial 16S ribosomal RNA". It matches the Rfam family "Bacterial small subunit ribosomal RNA", at positions 118 to 351 of the family's 1533-position model. The record is from RNAcentral.